CACACUUCAUACCACGCUUGUAUUCGCCCCUGUACAAGCACUUAGGUGCAAGAUAAUACAAACUGUCUCCCCCCGCUGGACGUAGGGCCUUCUCUUGCCCGAACCAGGAUAAAUCUCUGUGUCUUCUUGCAUCACCAUCCGGAAAAGGGAGCACGCAUACAAAUUUACUCGUUGGUGUGACCCCCCGGGGGAAAAACACCGACAACUGUGCUGGUCCUAGGCUAGACCGUGCUAGAGACGCGAGCCUGGACACAAAGGAAAACCACAGGACACCCCCGAAAACAAGGUGGAAGAAACCUAAAAUCAAUAUGAAAAACAGCCCCUUUUUUUUCUUUUGAAUCUUUUCUCUUUUCUUUUUUUUUCUUUUUUUUUGGGCAACCUCAAAAACUGAUUAUAUGAACAAAGGAAUACAAAAGAGCAAUUCGCUACACUCUCUCUCUCUCUCUCUCUCUCUCUAGAGUAAGGCCGAACAAGUAUGGAGUUAUCUUUCUUUUUGGAUCACAGUUCAAUUCGGACUUCACAACAGAUUCGACAGAGAGAAGAUAUGGUAAUAUUCGGCUGUGUAUAGAUGGUGACAAGAACUCGAAACUCUAAAGGACUAGACACUAAGACCAGCAACUCGACACAAACCGAAGCAACGCAAAUUCAACAAGCCCUAACUAAAACGGUACUAGCCAAGGCACAAAGGUUUAAUAGGAUUAUGGAAAAACUAAUUUACUAUAUUUUUUUAGCUUUUCUGGACUAUAGGAAAUUAAUUAAAAACAGCAAAGGAUUAGAAGUCUCUCACCGAAGAACCUUGCUCUGAUACCAACUGAUGCGAACCCGCUAGGGUUUUUGGCCUGAUCUUUUGAUGAGAGACGGGGAUAACUCGAUUGGUGGAUGGAGAUGACGUUCACGGCCUGACUACAGCCCUCAAGACCGCGCCUUAGCAACCGAUACACCACGUCCAACAGCCGUCACGAUCUUGUGGAGCGCGACAACCAGCCCCUAGGGCUCCCGUCCUGCAAGCAAUCGAAGAACUAGCAAGAACGAGGAAACAAGCACUGAAUUUGCAAGAUGAAUUGAAGGUUUCAAACUGAAUCUGAAUCAACAAUGAGGUUCCGAAGACAAGGAUACGGGCGGCUGAUCCUGCACGCGCGCCUACAAGCAAGUAGCGAAGGCUAAACUUGAUCUAAACAAAACCCAGUUGUUCAUGGCAGCUCUAGAUGUAAAUAAAUAGAGGGGAGGAUGACCAAAGGGGUGCUAGAGUCGUCCUCCAACCCUAGGACGCGUCCCUAAUGGACUCAACUUGAUACAUGGGCCAUUGGUCCAAAAUAGGGUGACGCAGCACCAAAACAGAAAAAGGUGUCGGCACGAAAACAAGGACUGCGCCCGACUCAUAAGCUGCA
Molecule: long non-coding RNA, 1388 nt
Filed under: Sorghum bicolor (sorghum)
Lineage: Eukaryota; Viridiplantae; Streptophyta; Magnoliopsida; Poales; Poaceae
Description: long non-coding RNA (SBIC_LNC018425)
Source: RNAcentral